Long non-coding RNA from Aethalodelphis obliquidens (Pacific white-sided dolphin), 1124 nucleotides. RefSeq lists it as uncharacterized. NCBI's taxonomy places the organism in Eukaryota, Metazoa, Chordata, Mammalia, Artiodactyla, Delphinidae. The transcript is spliced from 3 exons. The record is from RefSeq and is a predicted model, not a curated record.
AGCGUGUGUGCACGUGCCUGUGUGUGUCCCUGCCAGUGUCUCAUCACUAUGUGCUCUAGCCCUGCAUGUCAAAUGCAGAAGAGUGGAGCUUCUCCAUGUAUAUCACACUCAGGAGAGCGUUGAAGGCUGUAUGGUCAUCACACAAAGUACAUGAGGAAACCCAAAUGUCCCCUGUCCAUGUCAUCCCAGAAGACCCACUCAAGUCCCUGGAGAGCUGCUUCAUUGGAAGCAUUGGCUGGGAGAGCAUUUUGCGAUUCACUGGCUUCAUAUAGCCAGACCCUUAGCCUCCUCCAGAAAGAGCUUCCCUUCUUGGAGUCUCGGGGACACCAGUUGUCGAAGCUUCACCCCAAGGGAGGUAUUUAUCUCUUUUUGGUGUGUCAAGGUGAAGGUGAAGGCUGGGAAAAGUGGUGGGAAGUUAAGAUACCUGGGUUGCUGCUGCAGUUGCCGACCCCUAGGAUGGAGCUAGGAGGCGGAAUGUGGGGACAGAAACGUGCAGGGAAGUUGAGGCAGUGGGGAGGUGGCUCUCCAAUGUGGUGGAUUACAGCUACAUUUCCAGAGGGUCAGGACCUGCUCACACUCCCACCCAGGUUGAAUCCCAUCUUGGGGGCUCGCUGCUUAUUUGAUCUGCACAGUAAGUGCUUAAAGCAAGAGAAGAAAGGGCGCGAUUGUCUAUGACCCUUUCCACAGGGAGGCGGCUCAGGCUCCCCACCUCCCCACUGCCCUGUCUGGAGACUCUGCCAGGAAGGAGAGGUGUGGCCCUGAGCAGUUUGGGCUCAACUGCCCUGUGGUCAUCAGGCCCACAGGGGCUGGAUCUGGGUCAGACCCUCACCCCUCACAAACUGAGGCUCACAGCCUCGGGUGGCUGGGGGUCCGGGCAAAUACGCAACAGGGAGGAGCUGUGGGCGUCUUGUGGUAGCGUACCCCUCAGCCAGCCUGGGGGUCUGGGUCACCUGGGGUGAGUGGCUCCUGGUGGGUAGAGGCAGCAUCCUGCCCAUCAUGGCAUAACCCGCAGCACCCACCUGAGGCUUGGCACAGCCUGGGUGCUCAGUAGAAGUCUGUUUCAUCACAUUUAAGAGGGUUGAACAAGGAAAUUCUCUGUCGAUCUCUUUUUUUUUUUUUGCGGU